This 148-nucleotide non-coding RNA is filed under the name Nomascus leucogenys (northern white-cheeked gibbon). The record is from Rfam by way of RNAcentral. Lineage: Eukaryota; Metazoa; Chordata; Mammalia; Primates; Hylobatidae.
GCUGGGUGUGGUGGCGCGUGCCUGUAGUCCCAGCUACUCAGGAGGCUGAGGCAGGAGAAUCACUUGAACCUGGGAGGCAGAGGUUGCAGUGAGCUGAGAUCGUGCCACUGCACUCCAGCCUAGGCAACAGAGUGAGACUCUGUCUCAA